UGGGGGAGCUUACCAUGCAAGUCGAACGAUGAAGCCCAGCUUGCUGGGUGGAUUAGUGGCGAACGGGUGAGUAACACGUGAGUAACCUGCCCUUGACUCUGGGAUAAGCCUGGGAAACUGGGUCUAAUACCGGAUAGGAACGUCCACCGCAUGGUGGGUGUUGGAAAGAUUUAUCGGUCAUGGAUGGACUCGCGGCCUAUCAGCUUGUUGGUGAGGUAAUGGCUCACCAAGGCGACGACGGGUAGCCGGCCUGAGAGGGUGACCGGCCACACUGGGACUGAGACACGGCCCAGACUCCUACGGGAGGCAGCAGUGGGGAAUAUUGCACAAUGGGCGAAAGCCUGAUGCAGCGACGCCGCGUGAGGGAUGACGGCCUUCGGGUUGUAAACCUCUUUCAGUAGGGAAGAAGCGAAAGUGACGGUACCUGCAGAAGAAGCACCGGCUAACUACGUGCCAGCAGCCGCGGUAAUACGUAGGGUGCGAGCGUUAUCCGGAAUUAUUGGGCGUAAAGAGCUCGUAGGCGGUUUGUCGCGUCUGUCGUGAAAGUCCGGGGCUUAACCCCGGGAUCUGCGGUGGGUACGGGCAGACUAGAGUGCAGUAGGGGAGACUGGAAUUCGUGGUGUAGCGGUGGAAUGCGCAGAUAUCAGGAGGAACACCGAUGGCGAAGGCAGGUCUCUGGGCUGUAACUGACGCUGAGGAGCGAAAGCAUGGGGAGCGAACAGGAUUAGAUACCCUGGUAGUCCAUGCCGUAAACGUUGGGCACUAGGUGUGGGGACCAUUCCACGGUUUCCGCGCCGCAGCUAACGCAUUAAGUGCCCCGCCUGGGGAGUACGGCCGCAAGGCUAAAACUCAAAGGAAUUGACGGGGGCCCGCACAAGCGGCGGAGCAUGCGGAUUAAUUCGAUGCAACGCGAAGAACCUUACCAAGGCUUGACAUGUUCUCGAUCGCCGUAGAGAUACGGUUUCCCCUUUGGGGCGGGAUCACAGGUGGUGCAUGGUUGUCGUCAGCUCGUGUCGUGAGAUGUUGGGUUAAGUCCCGCAACGAGCGCAACCCUCGUUCCAUGUUGCCAGCACGUAAUGGUGGGGACUCAUGGGAGACUGCCGGGGUCAACUCGGAGGAAGGUGGGGACGACGUCAAAUCAUCAUGCCCCUUAUGUCUUGGGCUUCACGCAUGCUACAAUGGCCGGUACAAUGGGUUGCGAUACUGUGAGGUGGAGCUAAUCCCAAAAAGCCGGUCUCAGUUCGGAUUGGGGUCUGCAACUCGACCCCAUGAAGUCGGAGUCGCUAGUAAUCGCAGAUCAGCAACGCUGCGGUGAAUACGUUCCCGGGCCUUGUACACACCGCCCGUCAAGUCACGAAAGUCGGUAACACCCGAAGCCGGUGGCCUAACCCUUGUGGGGGAGCCGUCGAAUGUGACAGC
Molecule: ribosomal RNA, 1419 nt
Filed under: Micrococcus luteus
Lineage: Bacteria; Bacillati; Actinomycetota; Actinomycetes; Micrococcales; Micrococcaceae
Description: bacterial SSU rRNA
Rfam family: Bacterial small subunit ribosomal RNA
Source: RNAcentral